GAUGAACGCUGGCGGCGUGCCUAAUACAUGCAGGCCGAGCGAACGGACGAGAAGCUUGCUUCUCUGAUGUUAGCGGCGGACGGGUGAGUAACACGUGGAUAACCUACCUAUAAGACUGGGAUAACUUCGGGAAACCGGAGCUAAUACCGGAUAAUAUUUUGAACCGCAUGGUUCAAAAGUGAAAGACGGUCUUGCUGUCACUUAUAGAUGGAUCCGCGCUGCAUUAGCUAGUUGGUAAGGUAACGGCUUACCAAGGCAACGAUGCAUAGCCGACCUGAGAGGGUGAUCGGCCACACUGGAACUGAGACACGGUCCAGACUCCUACGGGAGGCAGCAGUAGGGAAUCUUCCGCAAUGGGCGAAAGCCUGACGGAGCAACGCCGCGUGAGUGAUGAAGGUCUUCGGAUCGUAAAACUCUGUUAUUAGGGAAGAACAUAUGUGUAAGUAACUGUGCACAUCUUGACGGUACCUAAUCAGAAAGCCACGGCUAACUACGUG
This 497-nucleotide ribosomal RNA is filed under the name uncultured bacterium. RNAcentral describes it as "partial 16S ribosomal RNA". It matches the Rfam family "Bacterial small subunit ribosomal RNA", at positions 28 to 507 of the family's 1533-position model. The record is from RNAcentral.